GGUUAAGCGACUAAGCGUACACGGUGGAUGCCCUGGCAGUCAGAGGCGAUGAAGGACGUGCUAAUCUGCGAUAAGCGUCGGUAAGGUGAUAUGAACCGUUAUAACCGGCGAUUUCCGAAUGGGGAAACCCAGUGUGAUUCGUCACACUAUCAUUAACUGAAUCCAUAGGUUAAUGAGGCGAACCGGGGGAACUGAAACAUCUAAGUACCCCGAGGAAAAGAAAUCAACCGAGAUUCCCCCAGUAGCGGCGAGCGAACGGGGAGCAGCCCAGAGCCUGAAUCAGUGUGUGUGUUAGUGGAAGCGUCUGGAAAGGCGCGCGAUACAGGGUGACAGCCCCGUACACAAAAAUGCACAUGCUGUGAGCUCGAUGAGUAGGGCGGGACACGUGGUAUCCUGUCUGAAUAUGGGGGGACCAUCCUCCAAGGCUAAAUACUCCUGACUGACCGAUAGUGAACCAGUACCGUGAGGGAAAGGCGAAAAGAACCCCGGCGAGGGGAGUGAAAAAGAACCUGAAACCGUGUACGUACAAGCAGUGGGAGCACGCUUAGGCGUGUGACUGCGUACCUUUUGUAUAAUGGGUCAGCGACUUAUAUUCUGUAGCAAGGUUAACCGAAUAGGGGAGCCGAAGGGAAACCGAGUCUUAACUGGGCGUUAAGUUGCAGGGUAUAGACCCGAAACCCGGUGAUCUAGCCAUGGGCAGGUUGAAGGUUGGGUAACACUAACUGGAGGACCGAACCGACUAAUGUUGAAAAAUUAGCGGAUGACUUGUGGCUGGGGGUGAAAGGCCAAUCAAACCGGGAGAUAGCUGGUUCUCCCCGAAAGCUAUUUAGGUAGCGCCUCGUGAAUUCAUCUCCGGGGGUAGAGCACUGUUUCGGCAAGGGGGUCAUCCCGACUUACCAACCCGAUGCAAACUGCGAAUACCGGAGAAUGUUAUCACGGGAGACACACGGCGGGUGCUAACGUCCGUCGUGAAGAGGGAAACAACCCAGACCGCCAGCUAAGGUCCCAAAGUCAUGGUUAAGUGGGAAACGAUGUGGGAAGGCCCAGACAGCCAGGAUGUUGGCUUAGAAGCAGCCAUCAUUUAAAGAAAGCGUAAUAGCUCACUGGUCGAGUCGGCCUGCGCGGAAGAUGUAACGGGGCUAAACCAUGCACCGAAGCUGCGGCAGCGACACUAUGUGUUGUUGGGUAGGGGAGCGUUCUGUAAGCCUGUGAAGGUGUACUGUGAGGUAUGCUGGAGGUAUCAGAAGUGCGAAUGCUGACAUAAGUAACGAUAAAGCGGGUGAAAAGCCCGCUCGCCGGAAGACCAAGGGUUCCUGUCCAACGUUAAUCGGGGCAGGGUGAGUCGACCCCUAAGGCGAGGCCGAAAGGCGUAGUCGAUGGGAAACAGGUUAAUAUUCCUGUACUUGGUGUUACUGCGAAGGGGGGACGGAGAAGGCUAUGUUGGCCGGGCGACGGUUGUCCCGGUUUAAGCGUGUAGGCUGGUUUUCCAGGCAAAUCCGGAAAAUCAAGGCUGAGGCGUGAUGACGAGGCACUACGGUGCUGAAGCAACAAAUGCCCUGCUUCCAGGAAAAGCCUCUAAGCAUCAGGUAACAUCAAAUCGUACCCCAAACCGACACAGGUGGUCAGGUAGAGAAUACCAAGGCGCUUGAGAGAACUCGGGUGAAGGAACUAGGCAAAAUGGUGCCGUAACUUCGGGAGAAGGCACGCUGAUAUGUAGGUGAAGUCCCUCGCGGAUGGAGCUGAAAUCAGUCGAAGAUACCAGCUGGCUGCAACUGUUUAUUAAAAACACAGCACUGUGCAAACACGAAAGUGGACGUAUACGGUGUGACGCCUGCCCGGUGCCGGAAGGUUAAUUGAUGGGGUCAGCGCAAGCGAAGCUCUUGAUCGAAGCCCCGGUAAACGGCGGCCGUAACUAUAACGGUCCUAAGGUAGCGAAAUUCCUUGUCGGGUAAGUUCCGACCUGCACGAAUGGCGUAAUGAUGGCCAGGCUGUCUCCACCCGAGACUCAGUGAAAUUGAACUCGCUGUGAAGAUGCAGUGUACCCGCGGCAAGACGGAAAGACCCCGUGAACCUUUACUAUAGCUUGACACUGAACAUUGAGCCUUGAUGUGUAGGAUAGGUGGGAGGCUUUGAAGUGUGGACGCCAGUCUGCAUGGAGCCGACCUUGAAAUACCACCCUUUAAUGUUUGAUGUUCUAACGUGGACCCGUGAUCCGGGUUGCGGACAGUGUCUGGUGGGUAGUUUGACUGGGGCGGUCUCCUCCUAAAGAGUAACGGAGGAGCACGAAGGUUGGCUAAUCCUGGUCGGACAUCAGGAGGUUAGUGCAAUGGCAUAAGCCAGCUUGACUGCGAGCGUGACGGCGCGAGCAGGUGCGAAAGCAGGUCAUAGUGAUCCGGUGGUUCUGAAUGGAAGGGCCAUCGCUCAACGGAUAAAAGGUACUCCGGGGAUAACAGGCUGAUACCGCCCAAGAGUUCAUAUCGACGGCGGUGUUUGGCACCUCGAUGUCGGCUCAUCACAUCCUGGGGCUGAAGUAGGUCCCAAGGGUAUGGCUGUUCGCCAUUUAAAGUGGUACGCGAGCUGGGUUUAGAACGUCGUGAGACAGUUCGGUCCCUAUCUGCCGUGGGCGCUGGAGAACUGAGGGGGGCUGCUCCUAGUACGAGAGGACCGGAGUGGACGCAUCACUGGUGUUCGGGUUGUCAUGCCAAUGGCACUGCCCGGUAGCUAAAUGCGGAAGAGAUAAGUGCUGAAAGCAUCUAAGCACGAAACUUGCCCCGAGAUGAGUUCUCCCUGACUCCUUGAGAGUCCUGAAGGAACGUUGAAGACGACGACGUUGAUAGGCCGGGUGUGUAAGCGCAGCGAUGCGUUGAGCUAACCGGUACUAAUGAACCGUGAGGCUUAACCUU
RNAcentral lists this ribosomal RNA (2903 nucleotides) under Escherichia coli. RNAcentral describes it as "23S ribosomal RNA". It matches the Rfam family "Bacterial large subunit ribosomal RNA". Lineage: Bacteria; Pseudomonadati; Pseudomonadota; Gammaproteobacteria; Enterobacterales; Enterobacteriaceae. The record is from RNAcentral.